This 215-nucleotide ribosomal RNA is filed under the name uncultured bacterium. Its description in RNAcentral is "partial 16S ribosomal RNA". It matches the Rfam family "Bacterial small subunit ribosomal RNA", at positions 335 to 546 of the family's 1533-position model. The record is from RNAcentral.
ACUCCUACGGGAGGCAGCAGUGGGGAAUAUUGCACAAUGGGCGCAAGCCUGAUGCAGCCAUGCCGCGUGUAUGAAGAAGGCCUUCGGUUGUAAGUACUUUCAGCAGUGAGGAAGGUGGGUAUGUUAAUAGCAUACUAUUUGACGUUAGCUGCAGAAGAAGCACCGGCUAACUCCGUGCCAGCACCGCGGUAAUACGGAGGGUGCGAGCGUUAAUC